AGAAUGAACGUUGGCGGCGUGGAUUAGGCAUGCAAGUCGAACGGGCCGCAAGGCCAGUGGCGCAAGGGUGAGUAAGGCGAAGGUAACCAACCCCGCGGGUGGGCAUAGCCGAGGGAAACUUCGGGUAAUUCCCAGCGAUGUGACGGCUCGGCAUCGAGCUUUCACCAAAGAUUUAUCGCCGUGGGACGGGCCUUCGUGGUAUUAGCUUGUUGGCGGGGUGACGGCCCACCAAGGCUGCGAUGCCUACCGGGCGUGCGAGCGUGGCCCGGCACACUGGGACUGAGACACUGCCCAGACUCCUACGGGAGGCUGCAGUCGAGAAUCUUCGGCAAUGGGCGCAAGCCUGACCGAGCGACGCCGCGUGGAGGAUGAAGGCCUUCGGGUUGUAACUCCUGUCGAGGGGAGGAAGCCGCAAGGUUGACCGAUCCCGUGGAGGAAGCACGGGCUAAGUUCGCGCUAGCAGCCGC
RNAcentral lists this ribosomal RNA (467 nucleotides) under uncultured bacterium. RNAcentral's name for it is "SSU rRNA". It matches the Rfam family "Bacterial small subunit ribosomal RNA", at positions 26 to 518 of the family's 1533-position model. The record is from RNAcentral.